UCCGGUUUGUCACCGGCAGUCUCAUUAGAGUGCCCAACUGAAUGUAGCAACUAAUGACAAGGGUUGCGCUCGUUGCGGGACUUAACCCAACAUCUCACAACACGAGCUGACGACAGCCAUGCAGCACCUGUCACCGCGUCCCCGAAGGGAACCUCCGCUUUCACGGAGUAGCGCGGGAUGUCAAGCCUAGGUAAGGUUUUUCGCGUAGCAUCGAAUUAAACCACAUGCUCCACCGCUUGUGCGGGCCCCCGUCAAUUCCUUUGAGUUUUAAUCUUGCGACCGUAAUCCCCAGGCGGAGUACUUAAUGCGUUGGCUACGUCACCGAGACAAUUAGGUAUCCCGACAACUAGUACUCAUCGUUUAGGGCGUGGACUAC
Molecule: unclassified non-coding RNA, 376 nt
Filed under: uncultured delta proteobacterium
Lineage: Bacteria; Deltaproteobacteria
Description: contains 16S-23S intergenic spacer region
Source: RNAcentral